Podarcis lilfordi (Lilford's wall lizard) is the source of this 3194-nucleotide non-coding RNA. Lineage: Eukaryota; Metazoa; Chordata; Lepidosauria; Squamata; Lacertidae. The record is from the annotation of a GenBank genome assembly.
GCUUUAGCAGAACAAUGGUACAAUUAAAACAGUGUUCAGUGAAAAGCAAUGUUCAAUAGCUGAAGGGACAAUGAGGAAGAGACUUCUAUUAUUUUUGGUUCUUUUCUUAGCAAAACCUGGAUUGGAAAAAAAAUUAAUUCUGGUGAAAGCAAGGGCAGUGGUUAGAAUUCUUGUUUGUAGGAAAUCAGGAAAGUAUAUUUUACAUUGAAACAACAGGUAGUAAUGAGGGUGGCAGGCAGAAAGGAAUAAAUUCCUCAUAAUAAAGUAUGUCAGUAAAUCUCCAUGCUCACUUUUUCUUCACAGAGUAAAAAAGGCGCUUUUAGUAUCACUCUUCCUUUUCAACUUGCUAGUAUCUAUUACGUCCCUUGGUUAGUAUUUGUUCAAACAUUUCCCCCCCGUAGAUAAUAAUGGGAAAAAUAUGUUUCAUACACAUGACAUUUGGGGUUAAUUCAGUCUUUAAGCGGAAUAUUCAAAUAUCUUGUACCUUUAAUUUGCCAUGGUCUUCAUAAUAUCAUUGAGAUUAGGCAGUACUGCAUAUCCAUUUUAGUACCUAUAGACUCUUAGUACCUAUAGAGUAAUUCUCUCUCCUGUGCACCCACACAUACACAACUAAACUGAAAGCACACUUUGGAAAUUUCCUGACACCCUAACACAGACAGUCUCAGUUGGGGUAGAGGAACCCUGUCCAUUUUAGUUUCUCUCCAUUGUUAAGUUCAAUUCCCCGUAUUUCUACAUCAGUCUGAUUUAUUAUUAUUAUAUAUUUUUAAAAAACUCUUCAGGAAAAUUCACCAGCAUUUUAAUGUGCAUUUUUCCCCUAACAACCACAUUUGUAUGUUAUUUCCCCUAAUAUUCACAUGCAAUUUUUAAAUGCACACUUUACACCAGUAUAGGCAUUCUUAUACAGACUACUUGGUUGGAGAGUUGCAAUGCAAUAUUGGAGAAGUGUGAAUUUUGAAGGAUGUAUUUGCUUUGGUUUUCAUAUUGUUCUGGAAAAUGCAAAUUAGGUAGAUUCACCUUAAUUUUUCAAUGGAAUUGACUUUGUCUCCCAUCUUGGCCCUCAAGAUACACUUGCCCAGUUAUAACAUAGAACACAGUGAUCCUCAGAUAUUCUGGCCCCUCAUCACUUAAAGGUUAGGUCUUGAUGAGAGACCUCCAUGACAGAGGAGCUACAUGAGAAGCAAACCAAUCCACUGAGCUAAGGGGUUUCUGGCUUGUGGGAGUCAGAGGCAUUUCAAUAGGUUGUGCACCCAGGGAAUAAUUUAUUUGUUUCAGUGAAGGAGGAAGUGAAUGACAAGGCAAACAAAUAAGGACAAGCUAGAAGUAAAAAGCUAACAAAACAACCACAAAAAUGGCCAAGAAGGCAAGACCCACGCUAAGCUAACCUGAGGCAACCUAAAGGGUUGAGGGUGGGAUGGGUAUUCCCCUUCCUUCCUUCCUUCCUUCCUUCCUUCCUUCCUUGCAUUCAUGCCACAAAAGCAGCCUUUCACCCUCACAGAUCUCUGUCCACAAAAGAUGGCAAGUGGAUGUAGGACACACUCAGCCAUGGGGAAGAUACAGAUGCAGGCAGAGGAAAAAAGCUGGAAGGGAUUUGCAGCUUCUGCCUAUGUCUGUCUCUGGAGGUGGCAGGCAGAAGCGACAGAUCCAUUCCAGCCUUUUUCUUCUGCCUGCAUUGAUUUGUGGUUGGGUUUGUUUUUUUUAACAUUAGAAUGUGGCUGGGCACACCUGGCACACCCCUUGAACAACCCAAUUGUAGGAGUUACUGGAGUUCUAUUAUGUAGUAACACCUUUCUUAGGCUCUCACCCAGCAAACAUGAAGUAUUGAGCUCAGUUCACACAAAUUGGCUAAUGAGGAAGUUACAAGUGUUUCAGGACUGUGUGGAAGAUUGUGUGGUUUUCCAUGGGGGGGAAAAAUCCCUGCAUAUGAAAGAUGAGCACAUCAGGGGGAAAGCCUGACUUUGCAUUAACAUUACUUUUCUGCAUUACAUUGGUUUCUGGAAAGAUGUAAGAGGGGAAAAGGGAUCCCCAUCAGCUCUAUAAAGAGAUUCAGGUGAAUAGUAGUUCUGCCACCUCAUGUACUGUUUGUCUAAACUAACCAUGCAAAUUAAAGGACUGCUGCCAUGUCCCAUGCUCCUUCCUUUUUUAAAGACAAUCUAACCUCUGAACAGGCACACUUUUUCUUGAGGGGAGAAGUUGCAUGAUCUCGCGAAGGGAACAAGUAAACACCCAUUUGCUUCUGUCUCCCUUAGGCUCAAUGUUCAUAGACAUCCACAUGGAUGGUCAUUUGAAAUGCCAUUGCAUGAAGGCUGCUUCAUAUGGCAAAACUAUUUGUAUGAGAGAAUGUCUAGUGUAGGUGUUGCAAUUUUCACCAUACCACCAGCAGCUCUCUCUCUCCUUUUUCUCUUUUUUUGCAGGUUGAGAGCACACAGAGGAAAAGGUCCAGACAAUAUGGAGAACCACCAACAUAAUGAGGUUUGCAAACAUUGCAAAUAAGUCCAUCAACAUUACUUGCACAUACAAAUGUUGAUUAGCCCUUCUGCUAUAUACUGAGUCAAACUAUUUAUGUAACUCACUUUCAUUGACAGUGGCUGGCAAAAGAUCUCCAGGAUCUUGGAAAGUAGUCUGGCCUAGCCCUUCUCGGAGAUGUCAGGAAUUUGAUCCAGGGCUCCUCCCCCCAUGCAAAACAUAUCCUUUACUACUGAGCAACAGCCUUUGCCCAUAUAUCAGUAUUAGUCAUUUUAGGCACAUCAGUAGUUUGGGAAAAGAAAAAGGAACCAGCAAUCAUUCAAAUCAUAAAAGUUUAACUACUCCAUCUUGCUGCCUGGAGAACAUCCUGUUUUCUUUCUCAGCUGUUUACAAACUUGGGUUGGGGAGUCAAUAACUUCAGAUAUAUGGGUUUGGGUCACUCUGUUCUUUAUAAAGCCAAAGAAAUGCAGGGAAGGCGUUAACUGGAUACGCAAAACUGUGUUGCUAAACUGCCAGUUGAUAGCUUUGAUGUCCAUAGGAAGAAAACCUCUCUAGUUUAGACAUAAACUAGUAUAAAUUUGCAUGAAGACGUAGGAUGAAUACCAGUUUGCAUCAACCAAAGAUAUGGAUGCAACAGGGCCAUUGCAUAAAGGAAGGAAGCGUUCGGCAUAAACGGAAUAGAAUUUGCUUUUUAACAUUAUGAUCAUUAUUGAUUCCUAGCAUGACAUGAA